UGGGGAAUCUUGGACAAUGGGCGCAAGCCUGAUCCAGCCAUGCCGCGUGGAUGAUGAAGGCCUUAGGGUUGUAAAAUCCUUUCGUGGGGGACGAUAAUGACGGUACCCCAAGAAGAAGCUCCGGCUAACUUCGUGCCAGCAGCCGCGGUAAUACGAAGGGGGCUAGCGUUGUUCGGAAUCACUGGGCGUAAAGCGCACGUAGGUGGAUAGUUAAGUUCGGGUGAAAUCCCAGGGCUCAACCCUGGAACUGCCUCGGAUACUGGCUAUCUCGAGUCCGGAAGAGGUGAGUGGAAUUCCUAGUGUAGAGGUGAAAUUCGUAGAUAUUGGGAAGAACACCAGUGGCGAAGGCGGCUAACUGGUCCGGUACUGACGCUGAGGUGCGAAAGCGUGGGGAGCAAACAGGAUUAGAUACCCGAGUAGUCCCUGAGCGGGCUGGCAAGGCGCAU
RNAcentral lists this ribosomal RNA (446 nucleotides) under uncultured bacterium. RNAcentral's name for it is "bacterial SSU rRNA". It matches the Rfam family "Bacterial small subunit ribosomal RNA", at positions 355 to 825 of the family's 1533-position model. The record is from RNAcentral.